GAAUUUUCACUGUUCCCUUUACCACGUUUUACUG
This 34-nucleotide unclassified non-coding RNA is filed under the name Parhyale hawaiensis. Lineage: Eukaryota; Metazoa; Arthropoda; Malacostraca; Amphipoda; Hyalidae. The record is from RNAcentral.